Molecule: long non-coding RNA, 552 nt
Organism: Spodoptera litura
Lineage: Eukaryota; Metazoa; Arthropoda; Insecta; Lepidoptera; Noctuidae
Source: RefSeq, a predicted model, not a curated record
UCCACAGACUUAUUAUUUUACUGAAAUGAUAGAAUAUUUAAUAUCUAACAUUAUCUGUGGACCAUAGACAAGGAAACACUGCCCAUGCCAUUGUUACAUGCUCUGUGGUCAUAAUAUUGUGCGUCAUGUAUGCGUGCGCAAAAACAGGAUAAUGCUCAGCAAUUUCUGCGACUUAAACCUCAAGAGGUUAGCGUCGCAGCGCUGAUUUUCAGCAUCUCCUUGGGUGACGUAAUGGCGUCCCGCCAGCUUCACUAAUCGCCAGCGAACAAGAAUGCAAAACAACAAAACAACGAAAUGAUCAAGUAGCCGGCAUGACCUGUAAAAUACAGAUAUACCUAUAUUGACCAUAAAUGAUGGGGGAGGCUGCAGCUACGAACAACAACCUGUUGGAUACCUGUGCAUCACCAUGUUGGAAGGCCGCGACCCUUGAGGCCUCGCAUUGGUGGUGGCAGGUUGUUCCAACAGUGAGUCGCAGCAUAUUUGAAGCUCCCCCUGAAGGCCGCUGUUCUGUGCUGAGGGAUGGAUAGUGGAUUUGUGGGGUGGACCUUUGAU